Non-coding RNA from Camellia sinensis, 1905 nucleotides. Lineage: Eukaryota; Viridiplantae; Streptophyta; Magnoliopsida; Ericales; Theaceae. The record is from RefSeq and is a predicted model, not a curated record.
UCAACUUCGGAGGGAAACUUCGAAGGGAAAUUUCAUUGGCGACUACAAAAAUUGGUCGGGAAAGAAAGGUUUAAGAUUUCAGAUUUCAUUUUUCUGUCUCUGACUCUCUGACUCUCUCUCUCUCUCUUUCUCACUCUCUCACGCGUCUACCCUCCUCCAACUCUCUCUCUCGCCUUUGUCUCCGUCGGCGUCGGAUACGGGAGCAUCACCGCCAUCACGCCUCUGCCCUCCUCCAGCUCUCUCUCUCUCUCUCUCUCUCUCUCUCUCUCUCUCUCUCUCUCUCUUUCUGAUAGCAGCUCCUGUUCUUGACACUGGCGAGCUCAGACGCCCCUUUCAUCGUUGCCCACAAGAAGGCCACUCUCACCAGGCUCAAGUCCGGUGUCCAACAUGUCUUCACUAUAACUAUAGCUCAAUUUGGGUGAUGUAGUGCAAGUAGACACCUGACUGCAGAACAGGGGACAUUUUAACUAGAGCAUCCAGGUGGGAACAUUUUUCUUUUUUUUGAAUAUCAUGAUGCCGAUGUUAUGCAAAGUUCUUCUAUUAUGCUAUUUCUUUUGAAAAAGUUAAGUGGAGCCACAACUGCAUUGGAAAAUGGUGAAUAUAUUAUCUGUUUAUUCUUUGACAAAUAAAAUUAUGGGAUUAUUUGUUGAAUAUAUUUAAUGCUAGAGGAAGUAGCAAAAGAAGCAACUAAACAUAUAGAUCAUGCAAAAUUAGUUGGAAGUCUUCUGCUAAAAAGAUUCCCAACUUUCUUAAGAACAUGAAAGGUAUUCUCUGGAGAAUGUUUAGCCAAUGACCUUUAGACUGUGUGUGUCGAGUGUAACUUUCUGUGAACCAAUUGAAUGGCUUUUUUGGACUAACUGACGAGAGUUCUCUAUAGCAUGUAAAGCUAUAGUCUUUAGAGUUCCAAGAGUAACUUGUUUUGAAGUUGAAAUGGAAGAAAGUGAGAACAAGAGAUAACUUUUAUUCACCCAAAAAAAGAUCUAUAACUUGCUUUCCUAUAUAGUUUGAUUUAGAAGAAUAUUUCCAUGUUUAGUUGUAAGGAAUUGCAUUUGUUGAUAAUUAACUUUUGGAAGAUCUUUUGUGGUGUAUUGUAUUAUAUUUUGAUUUUCAAUUUGGUAAAAGAAAUGGAGCUGUAUCAUUUUCUAUGGGUUGAUUUACUUGGAAAUACUUGUAAUUUGUAAAAUUUAUUAUUUUUUCUUUAGAUAAUAUUUGUGAAAUGAUUUUCACACUUUUCUUUUAACCUUUCACAACGGGAGUGUGAGAGGCUAACGGGGGAGAGUGAAUAUAAUUUCUCUAAUAUUAUUAUUCAAUAGAAUGUAGAUCCAUUGCAAUAUUUUGAAUUUUAUCAAGGUCAGUUUUGUGGUAAUUGGCAUUUGAGGCCACCUUUAUUAUCAAUUCUAACUUGCUUUGGAAUUUUCUGUUUCUAUUUACAGCAUUCAUGGGCAAUGUGCAGCAACUAUGAAAUCUCUGUUAAGAGUAACUAUAACUUUGAAAAACCUUUCUUGCACCUUGCCAGGAAGCUUGCAGGGCACGAAGCUGAGCUUGCUGCAGCGGCUAGCCAGCCCCUUCCUGAUGAUGAUGACGAUGCAUUUGACUAAUGCUCAUGACUUUAGCUUUUUGCUAUCAUUUUUCGUGCUCCUUUAGUUAAUAUGAGUUCUAAAAAAAAAUUUCAACGCUAUCGAAGGAUUUGUGUAUGAGAGGUGAAUGUAUCGCGGAGAAGAGACCAUUUUAGUUAUUCUUUAGCCAUUGUUUGAAGUCUGGUUGUGGUUGUGCUUUGUGGUAGAAUUCUUUAGGCUGCCAUAUGGAUGUUUUGAGUCACUUCAAGUGUUUGCUUGAAGAUUUUAAAUUAUGUAUGGAUUUAAAUUAUUGACGUUGGAUUAGACUUGGACUAUAUGGAAUUUGUAU